RNAcentral lists this ribosomal RNA (440 nucleotides) under uncultured bacterium. Its description in RNAcentral is "partial 16S ribosomal RNA". It matches the Rfam family "Bacterial small subunit ribosomal RNA", at positions 338 to 795 of the family's 1533-position model. The record is from RNAcentral.
CCUACGGGAGGCUGCAGUGGGGAAUAUUGCACAAUGGGGGAAACCCUGAUGCAGCGACGCCGCGUGAGUGAAGAAGUAAUUCGUUAUGUAAAGCUCUAUCAGCAGGGAAGAAAAUGACGGUACCUGAGUAAGAAGCCCCGGCUAACUACGUGCCAGCCGCCGCGGUAAUACGUAGGGGGCAAGCGUUAUCCGGAUUUACUGGGUGUAAAGGGAGUGUAGACGGCAGUGCAAGUCUGGAGUGAAAGGCGGGGGCUGAACCCCCGGACUGCUGUGGAAACUGUACGGCUGGAGUGCAGGAGAGGUAAGUGGAAUUCCUGGUGUAGCGGUGAAAUGCGUAGAUAUUAGGAGGAACACCAAUGGCGAAGGCAGCUUACUGGACUGUAACUGACGUUGAGGCUCGAAAGCGUGGGGAGCGAACAGGAUUAGAUACCCUAGUAGUC